This 376-nucleotide unclassified non-coding RNA is filed under the name soil metagenome. RNAcentral's name for it is "partial contains 5.8S ribosomal RNA, internal transcribed spacer 2, and large subunit ribosomal RNA". The stretch from base 1 to 120 matches the Rfam family "5.8S ribosomal RNA", at positions 35 to 154 of the family's 154-position model. The record is from RNAcentral.
GAUGAAGAACGCAGCGAAAUGCGAUAAGUAAUGUGAAUUGCUGAAUUCAGUGAAUCAUCGAAUCUUUGAACGCAUCUUGCGCUCCUUGGUAUUCUGAGGAGCAUGCCUGUUUGAGUGUCAUUAAAUUCUCAACUACACUGACUUUGAAUUGGUGUGGCUUGGAUUUGGGGGGAAAAUUGUUGUGGGCUUUUUGUAUAGUCUGCUCCCCUGAAAUUGAUUAGCGGUACCUUUGUGGAACUGUCUACAGGUGUGAUAAUUAUCUACAUCUUAGACAUCUGCUGGAAUGCUGCUUUCUAAACCUUACUUGUAUUGACAAUCUUGACCUCAAAUCAGGUAGGACUACCCGCUGAACUUAAGCAUAUCAAUAAGCGGAGGA